UUUAUUCUAGGCCUUCCUAUGG
This 22-nucleotide non-coding RNA is filed under the name Rattus norvegicus (Norway rat). The record is from RNAcentral. Lineage: Eukaryota; Metazoa; Chordata; Mammalia; Rodentia; Muridae.